RNAcentral lists this ribosomal RNA (460 nucleotides) under uncultured bacterium. RNAcentral's name for it is "partial 16S ribosomal RNA". It matches the Rfam family "Bacterial small subunit ribosomal RNA", at positions 338 to 795 of the family's 1533-position model. The record is from RNAcentral.
CCUACGGGAGGCUGCAGUGAGGAAUAUUGGUCAAUGGACGAGAGUCUGAACCAGCCAAGUAGCGUGAAGGAUGACUGCCCUAUGGGUUGUAGACUUCUUUUAUAUGGGAAUAAAACAGGGUAUGCAUACCCUCUUGUAUGUACCAUAUGAAUAAGGAUCGGCUAACUCCGUGCCAGCAGCCGCGGUAAUACGGAGGAUCCGAGCGUUAUCCGGAUUUAGUGGGCUUAAUGGGUGCGUAGGUGGAAUGUUAAGUCAGUUGUGAAAGCUUGCGGCUCAACCGUAAAAUUGCAGUUGAAACUGGCUGUCUUGAGUACAGUAGAGGUGAGCGGAAUUCGUGGUGUAGCGGUGAAAUGCUUAGAUAUCACGAAGAACUCCGAUGGCGAAGGCAGCUCACUGGACUGCAACUGACACUGAUGCUCGAAAGUGUGGGUAUCAAACAGGAUUAGAUACCCCUGUAGUC